This 28-nucleotide non-coding RNA is filed under the name Bombyx mori (domestic silkworm). Lineage: Eukaryota; Metazoa; Arthropoda; Insecta; Lepidoptera; Bombycidae. The record is from RNAcentral.
UAUUGAUCUCCAUCCGAUGACGUGUCGC